Molecule: long non-coding RNA, 2703 nt
Organism: Struthio camelus australis
Lineage: Eukaryota; Metazoa; Chordata; Aves; Struthioniformes; Struthionidae
Source: RefSeq, a predicted model, not a curated record
CCUAGCAAUAAAGUAUUUCUUACAAAAAUGUCUUCAAAUAUCUAAGCAUCUCUACCUAUCAUAGCUCUACUACCACCACAGAAUCCUCACCUUCCCUGACCAGCAGUCUAUACAAAAUUUGGGGAGGAGAAAAAGUAUAUAUAGAGCUAAUCAUUUCUGAGUAGACAGAAGAAAGAACCUCUGGAUACUGAGAAAUCUUUGUGAUCUGGAGUGCUAUGGAAAAGCAGAUAAAACUGCAAGUCUAUCUUUUUUCUAGGUGCUUAACAGAAGCUAGUCCGUGCAAAAUAAAGCCUCUAGUAAUUGCCUCACAUGAAGUGAAGUACUAAGGCAGUGCUGAGUGAUGCAGAGACAGGGCUGCUGGGCUGCUUUCAGGAAGACCUAUUAUUCAGAUUUUGCAGGCAAAUUGUUGUGGAGUGUGUCAGACCAGCUUGCUGACUGAACAGAAAGCCAGUUUCCAAAAUAAAAAUGGGCUCCUAGCUUGAAAUUUUGAGCAGACUGUAAUUGCCCAGUGACACAGAACCUGCACCUGCAAGACCCCCCAGCCUUUGGGACCAACAUCUUAUGGAAACAUGAGAAACCACUACUUUCUGUGUUUCUGCCUUUUUACAUUUAGGUUUCACUUGACUUCCACCAAAAUCAAUAUGAUUUAAGAGUUGACAUCAGUGGGACCCUUCCUGAAUCUUUCCCGCUCGUUGUUGGGAUAAAAUACAGAAACACUGAAGCAAAGUCCUACAUGACAGACAGUAGGAAGUGAAGGAAUAGAAGAAGAAUCCUGUCCUACUGUGCUCUGAGACAUACAUGUCAAAAUAUACUCCAUAUAAUUCUUCCAGACUUUGCUUGUUUUGAUGAGAGCCUGUAAAACUGAGCUAUCAGUACUACAAUGGAGGUCCUUUGUAAACUAACCAUUUUGAUGCAGGAACUGGUGUAUGCCUAUCUCUAACAGUCUCUUAUAGCGCGAUAUAGCGUGGAGAAAAUGAAGCCUUGAACCGAUUCUUUGCUCAUUGGUGGUAUUCAGUGUCAUACAUGCCACAUAAACCAGCAUUUCAUAUGGAAGUGAAACAAAAUAAGGCCCUGGGUCAACUGCGUUAUCACAAAAAAGCAUUCAGGGAACUGUAAUGCAGUUUCCAUCCCUGUAAGCUUGCAUUAGUUCCCAACCACCACAGAAAUCAGAGUAGGUGAAAAGGUGGUUUAGGGAUGAUUUUGCCUCCUUAAUUCUUCAGAUGGUUCCAAGCCUGCAAGUACUUGCUGUUGCUCACUAGUGCUAUGAUGGUACUUUCUUACCCUGGCCAGCCUGGUCCAGCCAAGCCCUCCUUGAAGAGUGUUACAGUCCACCAGCAGCCACGGAGGAGCUCCUGAGUGAUGGCAUCACUUCCCGCACUUCUCUGCCUCACAGUUUCACCCCACUGAGAACUGCAAUAUUAUUUCAGAAUCUGCUGUCUACAGGGAUUUUACCUGCUCACUAUCUCUGAUCUCUUUGCCCCUCUGUGACUGGGACACCACUCAUGUGCCCAAUGUGUAGAAUCACGUAACCUUGGAAUUACAGAAAUGCUGACUGAAGGGAGCCUGGAAGUCUUUCGUCUGAUCAGGAUUGUCACCAAGACUAGAUCAGGUAUUCACAGAAGGCAUUCUGGGUCAGCACGGUGUUUGCAAAGAGUAGAUGCGGCAUGAAAAUACAAGGGAUGCGAUUGGAAGUGAUCCUGUUCUUCAAGCAUAAGUAACACUCCAGCACCAGCUUGGUACUGCACAGUGUCCCCUCUCAUCUGGCCUCGCACAGCCUGGGACGUCUUCCAGCCCAUAUAUGAGCCUGUGCAAUGUUUAUCUCCCCUGGGCCCACAUCCUCACUGCUUGGUCUUGCUGCAUGCUUUCCUCACUGUAUCUUAUUCAGCUGGUUCUUGAUUGUGGUUUGUUUUUUUAAUAAGUAUUGAUAAUUAAAAAUAUAUUUUAGAUUUUGAUGAAGGCUGCACUGAUAGGAGAUCUGAGAAAAUCAGAUGUACCUCCAAACCCCUCAUGAAGCUAAUAAGGAGAUACUAUGACAGGGCUAAAGCUAUGACACAAAGCAAGAAACCUGUGGUAGUUUACUCAGUUACUUUUAAAAUGUAAUACAGCUUUGAUCACCUGUCUAUCAUGUAGAUUUGUAGCCAGACAGGAAAGCGAAGCUCUUGCUACACAAGCUAUUAAUUUGUUUAUAUGCCAUACUGGGUUUGACUUGACACUGGCAUUAUUUUUCUAUUAAUACAGGUAAUUAAGAUUGCCAAAGGAGAAGAAGUGCUUAUUCACAUCUAGGCUAGACUGUUGUCUGCCUUAAGACCAACUUUUGAUUGAUUUUUCAAACCAAAAAGAUUAUUCAAACAGAAAAGUGGGUGUAUUUUAUAGAUACAUGGAAAAAGAAACUUCAGUGCAUAUUUCUCAUUUGUAUAUGACAUACAUUUCACAUUACAAUUACCUACAUCUUCAACAAAUCUAGAAUCUCUUCAUUUCUUAUCCCACUCUGAAAUUCUUGCCUAUGAUGAAUCCUGGGAAAUCAAUUGGUUUAACUACAGAAGGCUGGUAUGCUCACAAUUAAAUACUCUCUCAAGUCUCUCUGUAUUCUGUCUGUAUGUAUUUUAAUGAAGUUUUUGUUAGUGACAGAAGCCUUCUCUGUUUCAGCUUAAACUUUAGCAGACCCUUUGGGGAUCUAUAAAAAGAAACGUUCCUGGAACAUUA